Molecule: ribosomal RNA, 253 nt
Filed under: uncultured bacterium
Lineage: Bacteria
Description: partial 16S ribosomal RNA
Rfam family: Bacterial small subunit ribosomal RNA
Source: RNAcentral
UACGGAGGGUGCAAGCGUUUAUCGGAAUUACUGGGCGUAAAGCGCGCGUAGGCGGCUUGUUAAGUCGAAUGUGAAAGCCCCGGGCUUAACCUGGGAAUUGCAUCCGAUACUGACGAGCUGGAGUGCGGUAGAGGGGGGUAGAAUUCCUGGUGUAGCGGUGAAAUGCGUAGAUAUCAGGAGGAAUACCGGUGGCGAAGGCGACCCCCUGGACCGACACUGACGCUGAGGUGCGAAAGCGUGGGUAGCAAACAGG